AGUGGCGGACGGGUGAGUAACGCGUGAGAAUCUGCCUUUUGGUCGGGGAUAACAGUUGGAAACGACUGCUAAUACCGGAUGCGCCUACGGGUGAAAGAUUUAUUGCCAAAAGAUGAGCUCGCGUCUGAUUAGCUAGUAGGUGAGGUGAUGGCUCACCUAGGCGACGAUCAGUAACUGGUCUGAGAGGAUGACCAGUCACACUGGGACUGAGACACGGCCCAGACUCCUAUGGGAGGCAGCAGUGGGGAAUUUUCCGCAAUGGGCGAAAGCCUGACGGAGCAAUACCGCGUGAGGGAGGAAGGCUUUUGGGUUGUAAACCUCUUUUAUUAGGGAAGAAGAUCUGACGGUACCUAAUGAAUCAGCAUCGGCUAACUUCGUGCCAGCAGCCGCAGUAAUACGAGGGAUGCAAGCGUUAUCCGGAAUUAUUGGGCGUAAAGCGUCCGCAGGUGGUUUUACAAGUCUGCUGUCAAAGCGUGGAGCUUAACUCCAUAACGGCGGUGGAAACUGUAAGACUAGAGGUCAGUAGGGGUCACGGGAAUUCCCAGUGUAGCGGUGAAAUGCGUAGAUAUUGGGAAGAACACCAGCGGCGAAAGCGCAUGACUGGGCUGAUUCUGACACUCAUGGACGAAAGCUAGGGGAGCGAAAGGGAUUAGAUACCCCUGUAGUCCUAGCCGUAAACGAUGACAACUAGGUGUUGCGC
This 700-nucleotide ribosomal RNA is filed under the name uncultured bacterium. Its description in RNAcentral is "bacterial SSU rRNA". It matches the Rfam family "Bacterial small subunit ribosomal RNA", at positions 94 to 828 of the family's 1533-position model. The record is from RNAcentral.